UAUUUGGUUUUCUUGAGUUUUACGCAGUUUGACAUUUCAUUGUUCCUUCAAUGCACUUCAUAUGAUAUCAGUAAUUCCAUAAAUUUUUUCUUCUUUCAGGUGGCUUUAGGAAGACAUGUUUUCCAAAACCUUCAAAAUAGGCUGGUGCAGUCCUACCAACAGCAGCCCUUGGACCUUGAUCAUAUUGAGUUCCUCUGCGUGAACGCAUCAACUCUAGUCUGUUCUCUUUCUGCUCAUAUUAAUGUUCCAUCACUGGUAGUUGAAGCUCUUCACCACCUCAUCUGCCUCAUCCAUUCCAAUAUGGAUACAAGAAGGUCUGCCAUUGUUGUUGACAGCUCAGCUGGUGAACGGGGGAGGGCAAAGCUCUAUGUUUCCAAAGACCACCUCAAAGAUCUACUAAAGAUGGACCUCUCCGUUUCUUGUAUCUCCAAGCUUUUGGGCAUAUCGCAGAAAACAGUCCGACGAAGAAUGGAAGAGUGGGGCCUCUCAAUAACGGCAACCUACAGCUCACUAUCAGAUGAUGAACUUGACAACUUAAUUGCAGCCAUAAAACAGGAAUCGAAAGAUCUGGAUAUGGACUUGUGAUGUUUGGUGUUGUUGAUGGCUUCUCAAGGAAGAUCUUGUACUUGAAAGCAGCUAACAACAACAAGGCUUCUACAGCACUGACGUUCUUGCUUGAGGCUGUACAGAAGCAUGGAUUUCCAUCGAGGUAUAAUGUGAUAGGUUUAUAGCAUAAACCUACUCGCUGGAACGUUCAGGACAAUUUGCUACACAGCAGAAACAAGACACAAGUAGGCAAAGUUCUUUGUAGUACUCAUGCAUGAGGGAGACCUGCCUGGAGCCAAGUGUCGUUCCACCCACUUGACCUCCAUCAGACUCUCAGCCAGGUUCCCCAUAGCACUCCUUUUAUUGUGGUUACAUGAAUAUGCAUAGGGUCAUUAACAUAUGAUGUAUACAUGUGGACAAAGAAUACCGUGUGUGUGUGUGUGUGUGUGUGUGUGUGUGUGUGUGUGUGUGUGUGGGGUCAAGAUAUGACCCCAUGAAGACUCCCCAAAGCUGGUGCCAGGAGUCUAGCGGUCCAUCUAAACAAAAGGCACUUAGACUAAAACAGAUAUAUGUGUGUUUGCUAUACCAUAUAUCAGCAAGAAAAGAUACGACCUCUCCUAGGAGGUGUGUGAUCUAUGCCAGAACACUCUGAAGAGGAGUGAACGCACUCCCCUCUUCAUGCUACACAGAGUUGUUACAGACCUCCUGGGAUGAGACCUUCUUUCAAUAUGCCAUCAA
Molecule: long non-coding RNA, 1284 nt
Filed under: Oreochromis niloticus (Nile tilapia)
Lineage: Eukaryota; Metazoa; Chordata; Actinopteri; Cichliformes; Cichlidae
Description: lncRNA (ENSONIG00000027974.1)
Source: RNAcentral